Molecule: transfer RNA, 75 nt
Filed under: bacterium
Lineage: Bacteria
Description: tRNA-Asp
Rfam family: tRNA
About the family: Transfer RNA (tRNA) molecules are approximately 80 nucleotides in length.
Source: RNAcentral
GGUGCGUUAGAUUAGUCUGGUUAAAUCGUUAGCUUGUCACGCUAGAGAUCAUGGGUUCAAAUCCCAUACGCAUCG